This 460-nucleotide ribosomal RNA is filed under the name uncultured bacterium. Its description in RNAcentral is "partial 16S ribosomal RNA". It matches the Rfam family "Bacterial small subunit ribosomal RNA", at positions 338 to 795 of the family's 1533-position model. The record is from RNAcentral.
CCUACGGGGGGCUGCAGUGAGGAAUAUUGGUCAAUGGACGCAAGUCUGAACCAGCCAUGCCGCGUGCAGGAAGACGGCUCUAUGAGUGGUAAACUGCUUUUGUACGAGGGUAAACGCAGAUACGCGUCUCUUUCUGAAAGUAUCGUACGAAUAAGGAACGGCUAACUCCGUGCCAGCAGCCGCGGUAAUACGGAGGAUUCAAGCGUUGUGCGGAUUUGUUGGGUUGAAAGGGAGCGUAGGCGGUCGGAUAAGUUAGAGGUGAAAUCCCGCGGCUCAACUGCGGAAGUGCUUUGGAUACUGUGCGGCUAGAGAGUAGUUGCGGUAGGCGGAAUGUAUGGUGUAGCGGUGAAAUGCUUAGAGAUCAUACAGAACACCGAUUGCGAAGGCAGCUUACCAAGCUACUUCUGACGUUGAGGCACGAAAGCGUGGGGAGCAAACAGGAUUAGAUACCCGGGUAGUC